AAGAAAUAAUUUUGAAAUAUUUCGUGUAGUGGAGAAUUUUACCCUGCGCGUGACCAAAUAUAAAAAAAAAAAUCAUGUGAGGGCUUAAGUAAUAAUCUACAAAAGCGCAAGGUUGAUCACAAUUCAAAUAGGACUCAAUUUACGGUACUUAUCCAUUUUUAAAUGAGGGAAUCAAUUUACUGAUUUUGAAUAACGAUAAAUACGUUUUUGGGACUCAAUUUACCUACGCCCAAGAUUAUUUUUGCGCGAAACAUAAUAAUAUGUAAUGAUAUUUAAUAAGUGAUUAUGAUAAAUUGAUAACCUAACGGCUAUUCCAAAAUGAAUGUAUCAUCCACCUUGGACGGUUCGGUUUCGGUUUCGGUACCGUUACUUAUCGUUACGAGUGCGUUCGGCUUGGCGUUCGAUAGCCCUCGGAAGUGUUCAGACUACAACCAUGACGUCACGGAAUCUAAGCACUACGUCAUCGAUCCGCGCUCACAAAACGUUUACAGGAAAUAGGUAGUGCGGUAAUUAAUGCGUCAGCGCUUUGGAGUGUAGACGAACGAAAUAAAGCGUUUAUACUACAACGUUAACACUGAUAACAAAUAAUGAUGGUAACAAAUUUUAAAUUUUAAAACUAUUUUUAAAGAAUAUUGUUCAUUAUAAUACUUAUUAUUCAUUUUUAGUAUUUUUGUUUAAUUACUUUUAUAAAUAAUUAUUCAGUUACACAUGUUUUGAAAGGCCGUAAUAUUUACGAUUUCGUCAAAAUAUGAUGCUAAAACUCCUAUAAA
Non-coding RNA from Cinara cedri, 770 nucleotides. Lineage: Eukaryota; Metazoa; Arthropoda; Insecta; Hemiptera; Aphididae. The record is from the annotation of a GenBank genome assembly.